Molecule: ribosomal RNA, 443 nt
Filed under: uncultured bacterium
Lineage: Bacteria
Description: partial 16S ribosomal RNA
Rfam family: Bacterial small subunit ribosomal RNA
Source: RNAcentral
CCUACGGGUGGCAGCAGUGGGGAAUAUUGGGCAAUGGGCGCAAGCCUGACCCAGCAACGCCGCGUGAAGGAAGAAUGCCCUCGGGUUGUAAACUUCUUUUGUCAGGGCCGAACAAAAUACCGUUCCCUGUCGAUUACGCCACGGCUACCUCCGUGCCAGCAGCCGCGGUAAUACGUCGGUGGCAAUCGUUAUCCGGAUUUACUGGGUGUAAAGGGCGUGUAGGCGGGAGUGCAAGUCAGAUGUGAAAGUCCAGGGCUCAACCCUGGAACUGCAUUUGAAACUGUUUUUCUUGAGUGAUGGAGAGGCAGGCGGAAUUCCUGGUGUAGCGGUGAAAUGCGUAGAUAUACGGAGGAACACCAGUGGCGAAGGCGGCCUGCUGGACAUUAACUGACGCUGAGGCGCGAAAGCGUGGGGAGCAAACAGGAUUAGAUACCCGUGUAGUC